Molecule: long non-coding RNA, 4293 nt
Organism: Canis lupus familiaris (dog)
Lineage: Eukaryota; Metazoa; Chordata; Mammalia; Carnivora; Canidae
Exons: 3
Source: RefSeq, a predicted model, not a curated record
CAUGGGCAAAACCACUGCGUAAGAAGGUCCCUUCAGCUUAUUAUUAGCUAAGCCCCUUGGGAUAUCUCAAGAAAGACCAGCCUCACACUGAAUUUUUGGUUGGGCUCCAAUGUAUAUACUGAGAAUUCCUAGAACAGGCAAGUUGACACAAGAGAACUCUUGCCCAGAAUGGUCUGUUUACUCAGUGGAUAUGAAUUACCCUGAAAUGCGUGGAGCAGGGGGUUGUUUAGCCAAUGGCUCUGGUCCCAUUUACACAGAGGAUGUCUGCUCCUAUACUGUUUAUUCUGGAAACCACAGCAGUGGCACAGCUUCGUAGCCAGGCCGACCUGGUUUGAUUCUGGCACUUUCGCACAGUGGUUUCACCUUGGACACAUGAGAUGUGCCGGACUCCAUCUCCUCAGAUGGAACUAGUGAGAUGUCCUCUGCAUGACUGAUGUGAGCUUUAGAGCAGCUCACUGUGAAAUACCUACUGUGGCGCUUGGCACGUACCAGACAUUCUAUAAAAAACAGCAAGAGCAGACAUAUUACUGGGGGCUUACGAUGCCUUGGACACCAUGUCUUGAGCUUUACAACAGAAUUUUAUUCUGCCAAGCUUGACUGCUGGCUGAACCAUGGCAUGGUGGGCCCUAGCAACCUCUGUUGAGGAAUUCCAAGGAUGGAAUCCAUGGCAGGGGCGGGGUGUGUGGGGGUGUGGUUUCAUAGCACCGUGUGCUGCCCUGCUCAUUUUUAAUUCAGCACUCCAACUUACGGCUGCAGUUGGUGAGCAAACAAAGCUGUGACCUGGCUCUUCCUAAGCACCAGGAAGAAAGGCCUACCAGAUAGUGUGGCUCCCUGUGUAGAAAACCACCAUAAGACCUGGACAUGAUACAGGGGGCAGUGAUGUGAAGACCCGGAGAGGAAGGCAUCCAGAACUCUCUAAGCCAAGUCUGGUCUUGACUCCAGAGAGCUGCAGACCUUUUCGGUGGAAGCUCUGCACGAACGUGCUGGGGCAGAUUCUGUCUGUGAACAUUUGUACCAUCAAACCCACUGCUUCCAGCCAUGCAGUGCCAGGAAAUCAGAGGCCCUGACCACUCCAAAAUGCUGACCAGCAAAAAGACCACACCUUAACCUAAGAGGUGAACAGUCCACUGGCCAGCUAGCCGGGAGCAUUAACUGUCACUUGGGACCAAAUGGCAAUGCUCCUGUAGUCAGGCAGCGUUUCUAUUCCUACCUUUUCUCUUUAUAAAAGCCCCUGAUUGUCUAGGACAGAGCCAGGUACUUAGACUCUUAUAAGACCACUCCUACCACACAGGCCUCCUGGCUUCCAGAAAGGAAACUCUAGUGCCCUGUGGCUCUGCUGCCCCAAAAUACCCUAUAUUGCCUUUGCCCCCUUCACUCUUCUGUUCUCCCAGAGGAAUUUCAGAGGCUGACGCUUUUCAUCAUGAAAUCACUGCCUACGCCAGUUCACCUUGCUGGAGGCUUUCCUACAUGGCUCUCAGCAUAAAGCUCUACGAACGAAGGCCGCCACACACCCUGGUGUCCCCAUGACACCGACAUGGGCUGGAAUUGCAUGGCAUCUCCCCACCUGACAAAUGCCAAACAGAAGGAUGGAUGGUGGGCAAUAAUUGGGACCAUGCUGCUUCCUGCAGAGACCAGCUAAUGAAACCAACACAGCAAUCAUUGAGGUUCCUGGAUGUCAAAACAAACCUGUCUCUCCCAACUCACUCCUCUGUGUUCCCUUCAGCGCCCCCUCUUCCAACCGUCCACCUGGGGAAAUACUACUUACCUGUGGGUCUCAGACCCAAGGCCACACCCCUACCAUACCUCCUGCAAGCGCCUAACAUUCUACUGCAGGUAGGAGCUUGGGUGACAUGCCCACUUUGGGACUAUAAGUUCUUCUAAGGCAGGCCCUGUAUCCUAUUUCUUUAUCUCCCUAAAGCUCUGCACAGUGCCUGGCAUCAAAAGGGGCUGCUGCUGGUCACUGCGUCAGUGCAUCCACCACCCCAUAAACAGGUAAAAAAAUUCUGUCCCCUCCAGAGAACCAUCUCCCUCUCCUGCCUCCUACGAAGGUCACAUACCUUGUGGAGCUUGUCAGCAUUGUCGUAGUAACCCUGAAGUUCCUGGUGAAGCACCCGGUUUUCCUCAGUGAGGAUCUCCACCAUCUGCUGGGCUCGCUCCACGAUGGCAAAGGCAUCAGGACCAAGCUGCUGGCUGGGUGAGGCGGCCGGUGGAGGCUGCGGAGCAGCCAGGGUCAUGGGAAGCGGCAGUGGCAAGGACACGGAGUGCAGUGGCCCGCUGACAGGGGGGUUCUGGGAAGACAUCGGGCUGUGCUGCUGUACUGUCGACGGGAACGGGAGCUGGCAGGGACGGCUGCAAGGGAAGCGGAGACUGGGCAUGAGACCCCGGGAAAGCAGUGGGAGGAGAAAGUCCCAAUGAGACAUGGACUAGCGACAGGCCCCUGCUUCCACGGGUCAUCAGUGCCCUGUACUGGCAGGUUCGGCCCCUCACCCACAGACAGAUAACGUGAUCGCCCUCUGGAUCAGCACCGUUUUGGUGGCCAGGCCCUGCUCUCACGAAGCUCAUGUUCUUGGGGACAGAAACAGGCAAGUCAUCAUGCAAAGCCAGGUCAUUGCAGAGUAAUGGGACAGGAGGGACUGAGUGGCUAGUUCAUACUGAGAGGUCGGGGAAGAGACGCAGGUGCCUGAGCUGAAGUCUGAAUGGCAGACUGGAUAGAAUUAGUGGCUGGGGAAAGGGGGCCAAGGGGAGGAAGAUAGCAUUCCAGGUAGGGGAAUUAGCAGGUGUAUGGGGCCUAAAUCAGGACUUAGCCAAGCACCAAGCACGAGAGAGAAAGAGAGAGAGUGAGUGAGAGAGAGAGCCGAUAUGAAGCAGCGUCAGCAAAAGUGGUACAAGGGAAGACCAGGGCAAUGGGCGAGGGCCUUUGUAAGCCAAGGUCAACCCUGUGCUUAGGGUGCAGCCUAUGGCCUGUGGGGGAGGUGGCCAAUGAGUGGUGUGGGGAUGGGACGCACAGUGGCUAGAAUGGACGAAGGGCGCCCCGCAGGGAGGCCAAGGUGUGGCCUAGGGGAGAACCCAGGGAGUCUCACGGGGCAGUAGCAGGAGGGAAAGCAGGGAGGAUUUCCGGAUACAUCUGGAUAUAUCACGGACAGGGAGAGAGGUGAGGAAAAUUUAAAAAUCACUCCUAGAUUUGGGACUUUACACCAAUGGACGGACGAGGGUUACCUUCCAAUGAAAUGGACAAGUCUUAGGGAAGAGACAAGUCUUUUGUUUUGAUUUGCCGGGCUGAGAGGUCUGGGGCUCUUAGCCAUAUUAUAAAGAAGGUUCAAAGCCCAGGCACUAGCUCCUCAAUCUGAAACCAUGAGCUGCCAUCUCUGGCUCUGUCCCAGUUGUCCCCUCAUCGCUAUUCUGUUACCUGUUCCAUAAGAAUCGUCGUAUUUUCUCUCGCCUAAGCCAAGGGCUCCCACCACCACCUCUGCAGGUGGAAGCAGCAAUGAUGAUCUAGGUGGCUAGUUCUUCAACUUCAGCUGCCUGUCUUCUGCAGACUCAGGAAAAUUCAUUUUUUAGUGACCUCCCUGACCUUUUAGGUCUCUCAGUCUGGGAACUGGACUGUGAAGAAUUAUCAGCAUCCCUAAACUACCCACGUUCUGCAUCACAGGGUGGAGUCCUCUGGAGAUCCAGCUCCUGCUUCCAAUUCUUGACACUAAUGUCUCCUCUCGUGAUUCGUGGCCAGCUGUAGCCAAAGCUCUCAGAGUCCCCCCACCCCACUUUCCCCAAGAGGCUGACCUGGCCUUCUAUUUUCCUUCUAAAUAGAUUUGCAGGAAUGUUUUUGGAUGCUGUCAGCCUCUAUAUUGCUCAUUUUGUAAGCAUCUCUUGUAGCCAGGAUUCCUCCUGGCAGCUAAAUGUUGCAUCGCACUCUAGAAGAAAAUUUGGCGAGGGUCACUUUAGCCCUCCCUAAGUGGAUAUGCAGACAUUCAUAAAGAUGACCUCAGAAGAAAUCCAGCAGAUCCUAACAACAUGACCUACCAAAGGCCUUGCUUUGGUAACAAAGACCAGAGCUCUCAACCUCACUCAGAAGGUAUUUCCCAACUAGAUUUCCUUAAGCCUCCAAUCAGGAAGCCCCUUCCAUUUCCUGUUGGAUCUAAGUUCCCCAAGGCAAGGUGGAGAACCACGGAGCUCAAUUUGAUCCUUGAAUCCUUAAGUGACCUCCAUCUUCCAGGCAUUUUCAGAUUUCAGGAAAGAAUGCUGUCAGUGGGGAGAUGUGAACCACCCCUCCUCCUUCCCGCUCUGUACUAUAUAUAA